Long non-coding RNA from Bos indicus x Bos taurus (hybrid cattle), 1847 nucleotides. The record is from Ensembl. Lineage: Eukaryota; Metazoa; Chordata; Mammalia; Artiodactyla; Bovidae.
CUUAAAGCGGGCGCCUCCCUGCCACCUGGUUAAAAUUCCUCCUCCUCUCCCCACCUCCCUACAUCCAUUUUGCUCCUGUGCUGUUUAAACAAUACUUCAUCAAAUGCAGCCUGGAGCAAAUAAGAAAGCUCAGUAGAGUAAAUAAAAAGUCAAAAAAAAAAUCACCGGCUGGAGGCCCUCCAGGCCUCUCGUUGGUGCUCAGUACAAAACUCCACCCCUGCCGCUCGUGAAACAAGGAAAUCUUUAGAUGGAUGCCACUGGGCCCCAUGCCAUCCCUGCACAGCCCAAAAGCCAUGCCUGUAAUAUACACGAGGCUUCGUGCCAAACCGACUUUUCAGUUGAGCAGCUCUUCAAACUCAGGAAGAGAAGAGGAAUUUGCAUUUAGCCAUGAAGAAUCAAAAGACUCUUUGCACACAUUUCUUAAGGAAAGGACAUUUAGGAACCUGGAAAAGCUUAUGCCAUAUAAUCUCAGAGUAUAAGAAACAGCAGGGCAUCUCUGAGGCCAGCAGGGCAUCUCUGAGGAUGACAGGGCCAAUGAUGCCAUUUUGCAGAGGAGAAAACUGAGGCCAGAGAAAGCAAAUGAGUUGCCUGCAUCUGGGACUGGACAAAACAGAUGUGCAGUUAAGGAACAGCUGUUGAGAGACGGAGGUCAUAGCCAGAAGCUCAGUCAGUGUUCCAGCUUCAUCGGGUCCCCACUGAUCAGGUAGGCAUUGUCAAGAGCAUUUUACAAGUGAGAAAUAAUCAUGGAUUACUUCCCUUAGGCCCCAAUCCUAGGACACAGCAGAACCGUGACGAGAACAUAGGGUUCCUGGCUUCAAAGACAAUGCUUCUUCUAUUCUGUGUCAUCUUUUGGAGGGAAGCUUGCACAUAGAUUUGUGCUAAGGGGAGUGUGAAGUGAAGAGGAUGCAGAUGGAGGCACCUUGGUGCGUUCAGGCUUGUUUCCAUCACCACCAUCAUCUGGGGCUGGUGGGACUCGACCUCUGUAUUUCCCCUUCUGAAGAAUCCCCUAUUCCAUUCCCAGAGAAAAAGGCCCUAAUCGACAUGAGUUCUUCAGUUAAAUUAAUUUAAUUAAUAUAAACCAAUGCUGCUUUAAGAAUUUGAAAGGUCUGUAAACUUAAAUAAUUGUUUUUAAUACAAAGCUUCCUGAAGGAGGAAAUGGCAACCCACUUCAGCCCAUAGGGUCGCAGAGAGCCUGAAUGGCCUGGAAGCAUCUGAGUUUGCCCAAACCAGUUUUGCAAGUGAGGAUAUACAGCAGUGACAGGUAGAGCAACUAUUGGGUGAAUUGCCAUGGCAUCAGUGACCAGACCCCCAAAUCCAAACUGGGACCUGAGUCACUGGGGUCUGUGUGCCAGCUUCCCGCUGCAGCAGAGUGGCACUUGCACCCUUUGCUGUGUUCUCUGCCGCCUCUCCGUCAGCUGCAGCCUUAGAUGUGAGACAACUGUAUUUCAUCUAUCACAAGUCCCCUUCGAGACAUAGUCACUGUCUCCAGAAAGGACCUCAACUGCUUUUUAAAAAUCGCACUAACUACCAAAUACCCAUAAAGUAUAGCAUUAAAUCUGUAAUACCACACCCUCUGGCAGCAUCUGCCCGGCCCUGAAUUCUUGAACAUUCUUGGCCUUUGAGUUCAACUUCAUCUGACCCAUGUUGGCCUACAUCUCAUCGCCAGCCAUUCCUAACCACAGAAUCCUCCCCCAGCAGCAUCCAAGACAGCAGCCAGGGCGCCUUCAGAGACUCUGCCAGGACUGGGCUUUUAAAGGGGCAUCUCAAUGAGGAAAACGCCAGUAACAACAAACCAACCUAAGGGCUGUGUAUUAUAAUCACAGAUGCCCACCUCAUCCUAAAUAAAC